UGGGGAAUCUUCCGCAAUGGACGCAAGUCUGACGGAGCAACGCCGCGUGUAUGAAGAAGGCCUUCGGGUUGUAAAGUACUGUUGUUGGGGAAGAACGGCUCAAGUGUAAAUAAUGCUUGAGAUUGACGGUACCCAACGAGGAAGCCCCGGCUAACUACGUGCCAGCAGCCGCGGUAAUACGUAGGGGGCAAGCGUUGUCCGGAAUUAUUGGGCGUAAAGGGCGCGUAGGCGGGCAUAUAAGUCUGAUGUGAAAGUGCGGGGCUUAACCCCGUAAAGCAUUGGAAACUGUAUGUCUUGAGGACAGGAGAGGAAAGUGGAAUUCCUAGUGUAGCGGUGAAAUGCGUAGAUAUUAGGAGGAACACCAGUGGCGAAGGCGACUUUCUGGACUGUAACUGACGCUGAGGCGCGAAAGCGUGGGGAGCAAACAGG
RNAcentral lists this ribosomal RNA (429 nucleotides) under uncultured bacterium. RNAcentral describes it as "bacterial SSU rRNA". It matches the Rfam family "Bacterial small subunit ribosomal RNA", at positions 355 to 776 of the family's 1533-position model. The record is from RNAcentral.